RNAcentral lists this ribosomal RNA (250 nucleotides) under uncultured bacterium. Its description in RNAcentral is "partial 16S ribosomal RNA". It matches the Rfam family "Bacterial small subunit ribosomal RNA", at positions 524 to 773 of the family's 1533-position model. The record is from RNAcentral.
UACGUAGGUGGCAAGCGUUAUCCGGAAUUACUGGGCGUAAAGCGCACGCAGGUGGCUUGGUAAGUCUGACGUGAAAGCUCCUGGCUUAACUGGGAGAGGUCGUUGGAGACUGGCAGGCUUGAGGUAAGGAGAGGGGUGCAGAAUUCCCGGUGUAGUGGUGGAAUGCGUAGAUAUCGGGGGGAAUACCAGAGGCGAAAGCGGCACCCUGGCCUUGGCCUGACGCUCAGGUGCGAAAGCGUGGGGAGCGAAC